GAGAAUAUAGCUCAGUCGGUAGAGCAUCUGCCUUUUAAGCAGAGGGUCGAUGGUUCGAGUCCAUCUAUUCUCA
RNAcentral lists this transfer RNA (73 nucleotides) under Chlorobiales bacterium. RNAcentral's name for it is "tRNA-Lys". It matches the Rfam family "tRNA". Rfam says of the family: Transfer RNA (tRNA) molecules are approximately 80 nucleotides in length. Their secondary structure includes four short double-helical elements and three loops (D, anti-codon, and T loops). The record is from RNAcentral. Lineage: Bacteria; Pseudomonadati; Chlorobiota; Chlorobiia; Chlorobiales.